CCUACGGGAGGCAGCAGUGAGGGAUAUUGCGCAAUGGGCGAAAGCCUGACGCAGCAAUUCCGCGUGGAGGACGAAGGCCUUCGGGUUGUAAACUCCUUUUGUGAGGGAAGAAGUUCUGACGGUACCUCACGAAUAAGACACGGCUAACUACGUGCCAGCAGCCGCGGUAAUACGUAGGUGUCGAGCGUUGUCCGGAUUUAUUGGGCGUAAAGCGCCCGCAGGCGGCCAGGCAAGUCCAGGGUGAAAUCUCCCGGCUCAACCGGGAGGGUGCCCUGGAAAGUGCUGGGCUUGAGGCAGGGAGAGGGAUGUGAAAUUCCCGGGGUAGUGGUGAAAUGCGUAGAUAUCGGGAGGAACACCAGGGGCGAAGGCGGCAUCCUGGCCCUGUCCUAACACUCAGGGGCGAAAGCGUGGGGAGCAAACGG
This 422-nucleotide ribosomal RNA is filed under the name uncultured Chloroflexota bacterium. Its description in RNAcentral is "uncultured Chloroflexi bacterium partial 16S ribosomal RNA". It matches the Rfam family "Bacterial small subunit ribosomal RNA", at positions 338 to 775 of the family's 1533-position model. Lineage: Bacteria; Bacillati; Chloroflexota. The record is from RNAcentral.